RNAcentral lists this ribosomal RNA (429 nucleotides) under Gemmatimonadota bacterium. RNAcentral describes it as "Gemmatimonadetes bacterium partial 16S ribosomal RNA". It matches the Rfam family "Bacterial small subunit ribosomal RNA", at positions 355 to 776 of the family's 1533-position model. Lineage: Bacteria; Pseudomonadati; Gemmatimonadota. The record is from RNAcentral.
UAGGGAAUCUUCGGCAAUGGACGAAAGUCUGACCGAGCAACGCCGCGUGAGUGAAGAAGGUUUUCGGAUCGUAAAACUCUGUUGUUAGAGAAGAACAAGGACGUUAGUAACUGAACGUCCCCUGACGGUAUCUAACCAGAAGGCCACGGCUAACUACGUGCCAGCAGCCGCGGUAAUACGUAGGUGGCAAGCGUUGUCCGGAUUUAUUGGGCGUAAAGCGAGCGCAGGCGGUUUCUUAAGUCUGAUGUGAAAGCCCCCGGCUCAACCGGGGAGGGUCAUUGGAAACUGGGAGACUUGAGUGCAGAAGAGGAGAGUGGAAUUCCAUGUGUAGCGGUGAAGUGCGUAGAUAUAUGGAGGAACACCAGUGGCGAAGGCGGCUCUCUGGUCUGUAACUGACGCUGAGGCUCGAAAGCGUGGGGAGCAAACAGG